UGCACGGCAAAGAGCCGACACAGGCAGCAGAGCCCAUCUCUGCCUUUGAAAGGAAACAAUCGAGCUUUGCAGUGGGCUAGUGCAUCAGGAGGGGAAAAAAUGGGAGAAAAAAAAUGAGGCACAGAGGCAGAGAGACAGAGAGAAAGAAGGUGUUUCUAAAUUCAAGGUCCUGUCUCUGGAAAUUUCAAGCUCUGCCUAUAAGGUUCCUACAAAUCUUUGUUAUUCUGCACAGGAUCCUAUGGGAAAGUGCACAGUGUCCUUUGUACUUUCAAAGGUGCUACAGGACCAAAAACCUCUUUGAACAGGAAUACUGAUUGCCAGCUUCACAGCAUUCCAUGACCCACAGGAAAAGCAGCAGACAACAACCUUGAGUAAACUCAGCAAGUUAAUUAACAGUGCAGAAUCUGGAGCAGAGGCUGUAACACCAACAAACUGACUGCAAUUGGAAACUCUGUACAGUCUGAUGGAUGAAUUGAACCUGAAAAACUGGAGGACAGGAUGGACAACGG
RNAcentral lists this long non-coding RNA (509 nucleotides) under Catharus ustulatus (Swainson's thrush). RNAcentral describes it as "lncRNA (ENSCUSG00005004990.1)". Lineage: Eukaryota; Metazoa; Chordata; Aves; Passeriformes; Turdidae. The record is from RNAcentral.